UACGUAGGCAGCAAGCGUUGUUCGGAGUUACUGGGCGUAAAGAGUAUGUAGGCGGUGUCCUAAGUUCGGUGUGAAAUCUCCCGGCUCAACUGGGAGGGUGCGCCGAAGACUGGGAUGCUGGAGUCUCGGAGAGGAACGCGGAAUUCCUGGUGUAGCGGUGAAAUGCGUAGAUAUCGGAAGGAACACCGGUGGCGAAAGCGGCGCGCUGGAUCCCUACUGACGCUGAGGCACGAAAGCCAGGGGAGCAAACGGG
RNAcentral lists this ribosomal RNA (253 nucleotides) under uncultured bacterium. RNAcentral's name for it is "partial 16S ribosomal RNA". It matches the Rfam family "Bacterial small subunit ribosomal RNA", at positions 524 to 776 of the family's 1533-position model. The record is from RNAcentral.